Molecule: non-coding RNA, 147 nt
Organism: Caenorhabditis elegans
Lineage: Eukaryota; Metazoa; Nematoda; Chromadorea; Rhabditida; Rhabditidae
Source: Ensembl
UCGGAACUGCACAAUUUACACCUCUUGCAACAUAGAAAUUGAGAAAGUUUCCGAAAAAAGAUUCACCAAGAGUUCGAACUAGAAUACUUCCAAUAGUGUAUGCUCCAAAGAAAACAAGAUGGGUGAAUGUGAGAAUUAAUGUGAAUU